UACGGGGGGGGCAAGCGUUGUUCGGAAUUACUGGGCGUAAAGGGCUCGUAGGUGGUCAACUAAGUCGGACGUGAAAUCCCCCGGCUUAACCGGGGAACUGCGUCCGAUACUGGAUGACUUGAGUUCGGGAGAGGGAUGCGGAAUUCCAGGUGUAGCGGUGAAAUGCGUAGAUAUCUGGAGGAACACCGGUGGCGAAGGCGGCAUUCUGGACCGAUAUUGACGCUGAGGAGCGAAAGCCAGGGGAGCAAACGGG
This 253-nucleotide ribosomal RNA is filed under the name uncultured bacterium. RNAcentral describes it as "partial 16S ribosomal RNA". It matches the Rfam family "Bacterial small subunit ribosomal RNA", at positions 524 to 776 of the family's 1533-position model. The record is from RNAcentral.